AGCAUUGCUGAGGUUUUCCGAUGUUUCAUUUGCAUGGAGAAAUUGCGGGAUGCACGCCUGUGUCCUCAUUGCUCCAAGCUUUGUUGUUUCAGCUGUAUCAGGCGCUGGCUGACAGAGCAGAGAGCUCAAUGUCCUCACUGCCGUGCUCCACUCCAACUACGAGAACUAGUAAACUGUCGUUGGGCAGAAGAAGUAACACAGCAGCUUGAUACUCUUCAACUCUGCAGUCUCACCAAACAUGAAGAAAAUGAAAAGGACAAAUGUGAAAAUCACCAUGAAAAACUUAGUGUAUUUUGCUGGACUUGUAAGAAGUGUAUCUGCCAUCAGUGUGCACUUUGGGGAGGAAUGCAUGGUGGACAUACCUUUAAACCUUUGGCAGAAAUUUAUGAGCAGCAUGUUACUAAAGUGAACGAAGAGGUAGCCAAACUUCGUCGGCGUCUCAUGGAAUUGAUCAGCUUAGUUCAAGAAGUGGAAAGAAAUGUGGAAGCUGUAAGAAAUGCAAAAGAUGAACGUGUUCGGGAAAUUAGGAAUGCAGUGGAGAUGAUGAUUGCACGGUUAGACACACAGCUAAAGAAUAAGCUUAUAACACUGAUGGGUCAGAAGACAUCUCUAACACAAGAAACAGAGCUGUUGGAAUCCUUACUUCAGGAGGUAGAGCACCAGUUGCGGUCUUGUAGUAAGAGUGAGUUGAUAUCUAAGAGCUCAGAAAUUCUCAUGAUGUUUCAGCAAGUUCAUCGAAAGCCUAUGGCAUCCUUUGUUACUACUCCUGUUCCACCAGACUUUACCAGUGAAUUAGUACCAUCUUAUGAUUCAGCUACUUUUGUUUUAGAGAAUUUCAGCACAUUGCGUCAGAGAGCAGAUCCUGUUUACAGCCCACCUCUUCAAGUUUCAGGACUUUGUUGGAGGUUAAAAGUUUACCCAGAUGGGAAUGGAGUUGUUCGUGGUUACUACUUAUCAGUGUUUCUGGAACUCUCGGCUGGCCUGCCUGAAACUUCCAAAUAUGAAUAUCGUGUAGAGAUGGUUCAUCAGUCCUGCAAUGAUCCUACCAAAAAUAUCAUUCGAGAAUUUGCAUCUGACUUUGAAGUUGGAGAAUGCUGGGGUUAUAAUAGAUUUUUUCGUUUGGACUUACUUGCAAAUGAAGGAUACUUGAAUCGACAAAACGAUACAGUGAUUUUAAGGUUUCAGGUUCGUUCACCAACUUUCUUUCAAAAAUGCCGGGACCAGCAUUGGUAUAUUACCCAAUUGGAAGCUGCACAGACUAGCUAUAUCCAACAAAUAAAUAACCUUAAAGAGAGACUCACUAUUGAGUUGUCUCGAACUCAGAAAUUAAGAGAUUUGUCACCACCAGAUAAUCAUCUUAGCCCCCAAAAUGAUGACACUCCCGAGACACGAGCUAAAAAGUCUGGGUCAUGCACUGACAUGCUUCUACAGGAUGGUCCUACUACAGCUUCUGUAAGAGAGGCCAAAGAGGAUGAAGAAGAUGAGGAGAAGAUUCAGAAUGAAGAUUAUCAUCAUGAACUUUCAGAUGGAGAUCUGGAUCUGGAUCUUGUUGGUGAAGAUGAAAUAAAUCACCUUGAUGGGAGCAGUUCUUCUGCCAGUUCCACAGCCACAAGUAACACGGAAGAAAAUGACAUUGAUGAGGAAACUAUGUCUGGAGAAAAUGAUGUGGAAUACAACAACAUGGAAUUGGAAGAAGGAGAACUUAUGGAAGAUGCAGCUGCUUCAGGACCUCUAGGUAGUAACCAUGGCUAUGUGAGUGCCAGUAGCAGAAUGUCAAGAAGAGCACAUUUAUGCUCUGCUGCUACCAGUAGUUUAUUAGACAUUGAUCCUUUAAUUUUAAUACAUUUGUUGGACCUUAAGGACCGCAGCAGUAUGGAAAAUUUAUGGGGCUUACAGCCUCGUCCACCUGCUUCACUUUUGCAGCCCACAGCAUCAUAUUCUCGAAAAGAUAAAGACCAGAGGAAGCAGCAGGCAAUGUGGCGAGUUCCCUCUGAUUUAAAGAUGCUAAAAAGACUCAAAACUCAAAUGGCUGAAGUUCGAUGUAUGAAAACUGAUGUAAAGAAUACACUUUCAGAAGUAAAAGGCAGCAACGCUGCUUCUGGAGACAUGCAGGCAAGCCUUUUUUCUGCUGACCAGGUAGCUCUGGCUGCGUGUGGAACCGAAAACUCUGGCAGAUUACAGGAUUUAGGAAUGGAGCUCUUGGCAAAGUCAUCAGUUGCCAGUUGUUACAUACGAAACUCCACAAAUAAGAAAAGUAAUUCAGCCAAGCCAGCUCCAUCCAGUAUAGCGGGUAGUCUGUCACUUCGAAGAGCAAUAGACUCUGGGGAAAAUAGCCGUUCGAAAGGAGACUGUCAAACUCUGUCUGAAGGCUCUCCAGGAAGCUCUCAGUCUGGGAGCAGGCACAGUUCUCCCCGAGCCUUGACACAUGGCAGCAUCAGUGAUAUUCUGCCGAAAUCUGAAGACCGGCAGUGUCAAGCUUUGGAUUCCGAUGCUGUUGUGGUUGCAGUUUUCAAUGGCUUACCUACUACUGAGAAGAGGAGGAAAAUGGUCACCUUGGGGUUAUUUUCUCCCUCUUUGAGGGCUAAUGCUAAAGGAGGUCUUCUGGAAGGAAUGCAAAUAACUGAUUUGGAAAAUAAUUCUGAAACUGGGGAAUUACAACCUAUACUACCAGAAGGAGCUUCAGCUGCCCCUGAGGAAGGAAUGAGUAGCGACAGUGAUAUUGAAUGUGACACUGAGAAUGAGGAGCAGGAAGAGCACACCAGCAUGGGUGGAUUUAACGACUCUUUCAUGGCACAGCCCCCAGAUGAAGAUACGCAUUCCAGUUUUCCUGAUGGCGAACAAAUAGGCCCUGAGGAUCUCAGCUUCAAUACCGAUGAAAACAGUGGAAGGGAGUCUUGUCUUCUGUUCCUGCUCUGCAGAGCCUCUGCCCAGCCAGAGCCCUUGCCUGAGUCCUGCAGGGCAGUUAAAUAAUGUGAUUUGAAACUGACACUGCACCUGAUGGGUUGUUAACAAGAUCUAGGCUUCAGAAAAUGACAGAAGUGAGUGAGCUCUGGAGACCGAUAGACUUCCAUUCACCCUCCAGGCACCAAACCAGACUACACAACCUCCAAGGGCCUCAAUGCGCUGCUUUUCAUCCUAAACAGCAAUGCAAUAGAAAGAACCAAAUAAUUGGCUUCAGGAUUUAUUCAUCUACCUUAACAGUAAACAACAGAUACAACACUCAUCAGCUCCCUGGAAAAGUUCUCUUUAUUUCUCCUUUGGAAGAUGAAGACCUGGCACUCCUCGCAGUCAUCUGGCCACCACAUGGAGCCUGAAAAUAAGUGAUGAAAGUGAGUACAGCCGAGAGCUGGAGAAGCGCCAGGUUCUGAUGACAUCAUGUGAAGCUGUGAAUCCAGCUGUGUAGCCCUUACCUUGAAGGGUAGCCAAGAAAUUGUUCUGCUGAAACCAGUUUGAGUUAUGUUGGUUGUCACUUGGAAUAAAAAAAUUCUUGAGUGUGCAUUAAGGGUAAAUGCUAGAUUUUGGCUUGAGUCAAAUUUUGUUCUCCAGUGUCCAAGAUGUAUCCAUGUAGUUCUACUUUAUUAAGUAUAUUUUUAAAAUUAGGAUUGCAUAUUGAAUUUCAUCAAUUGGUUUUUUGGAUGUCUUUAGAAAUUAUCCAGGUUUUUUUCUUUUAACCUAUUAAUAUAUAAAUUAGGCUAAUAGACUUCCCAAUAUUUUUGUUUUGUUCCCUGCUGUUUCCCCAGCAUAGUGCUAAACUAUGGUAGGCCCUCAAUAAAAUACUCAUCAGAUGAAUUAACUAUUGUACUCAAUAUACAAAUAUUUUACUUAAGGUUUUUUACAUUGAUUAAUGACUGAUCUAUUUCCUUUUUUAGUUUUGUCUCAGGCAAGUUUUCAUAUUAGUGUUAUGCUAUGCAAAUUUUCCUUCUUUAUGCAAUUGGAUAAUUCAUUUUAAAAAGUGUUGGGAUUGUCUUUGAUCGUUUGAAAAUGUUCACCUUUGGAGUCACCUGUUCUGUCCUUUUGGGAACGUGGCUCCUUGACAAUCUUCUAACUCUUUCUUCUUAGGUAAAGUUUGUUAAUUUGUAUUUUUCCAUAAAAUACACAUUUUCAAAUUAGUUUACACAAAUUUUUCCUAAUUCUUUUCAUUUCUUCUGUAUUAGUGAUCAUUUUCCCCUUUCUGUUUUUAAUUUUUACAUUGGAAUAUUUCAGAUUGAUUUUAGGUUGUCUGGCCAGGGGUUAAAUCUGCCAUACUAAACUUGUAUCAACAGAUAUGCAAGGUCGUUUAGCAAACAUUCUGUUAGGGAUGACAGAAACAUGAACUUUAAGUUAAGAAUUUUUUUUAAGUCUGUUUUUGGAAAAAACUAAAAGGAGAGACAAAAGCCAUUUCAGUGGGGACUUCAGUGCUUUUAAGGCAGUGACGGCAGGCCUUGUUCAGUAUGCUCCUUUCCCACUCUGAUGUAUGGAUAAACAAUACGCCCUGCAGAGGAUCUCCUCAGUGCCGUUCACACUGAGUGAUUUGGUUUAAAUAAUUUAGAUUAAGGACUUGCAAAUAGUUUAGAAUUAUAAUAGAUCAUUCUGAAUCACAGCAAUGGCAUGGAAACGUUACUGGGUAAACUUUUGGAAAAAUAUAAAAUCAGAAGGACCAAUGAUACCCACCAAAAGAAACACCCUUAAUUUCACUUUUGCUAUCUUAUGGGAGUUCAGAAAAUUCUUCCAAAGUAGGCAUGUAGGGCAAUACUACAAUCCUGCUACGUUAAGUAUUCUCCUGCAGGGAAUAGUGUAGAACAUCAGUAUAUAAAUAAUUGCUGCUUGAAAUGGAAAAAUAAAAUAGGGCGGGAAAAAGAGAAAAUUGUCCAAAGUAGCAGUCUACCCUCUCACAGCUGUAAAUUACUCAUCAGUCGUUAAUGUCAUUGUACUGAGCUGGAACUGAGUCAGCCAGCACCCUGGCUGCAGUGAUGCAGAAUUUAAUGUCCCUCAUCUUUUCAUUACGGGGCUUUUACUUCAUGCAUCAGUACCAGAGGAAAGACCAAUGCUUUGUAGCAGGAAUUCCAUCCAGCUUGACUCUGGAACAAUUUGGUUCCAAGUGAAUCAAUUACUCUCAGUAAAAACAAGCAGAGGACUUUCUCCUUUGCCAGUUUUCUGUCAAAAAUGAUCUGGAGAAAUAAAGGAAGAACGGAAUGUUUACUUUUC
Equus caballus (horse) is the source of this 5184-nucleotide non-coding RNA. Lineage: Eukaryota; Metazoa; Chordata; Mammalia; Perissodactyla; Equidae. The record is from RefSeq and is a predicted model, not a curated record.